Molecule: ribosomal RNA, 486 nt
Filed under: uncultured bacterium
Lineage: Bacteria
Description: bacterial SSU rRNA
Rfam family: Bacterial small subunit ribosomal RNA
Source: RNAcentral
AGUUUGAUCCUGGCUCAGGAUGAACGCUAGCGGCAGGCUUAAUACAUGCAAGUCAAGGGGGUAGCAAUACAACCGGCGCACGGGUGAGUAACACGUACACAACAUACCAUAUACUGAGGUAUAGCUUCGGGAAACUGAAGGUAAUCCCUCAUAGUAUUGUGAAAGGGCAUCUUUUUACAAUUAAAGUUUCGACGGUAUAUGAUUGGUGUGCGUUUGAUUAGCUAGUUGGUAGGGUAACGGCCUACCAAGGCAACGAUCAAUAGCUGGCGUGAGAGCGCGACCAGCCACACUGGAACUGAGACACGGUCCAGACUCCUACGGGAGGCAGCAGUAGGGAAUAUUGGACAAUGGGCGAAAGCCUGAUCCAGCCAUGCCGCGUGAUAGAUGAAGGCCCUCUGGGUUGUAAAUAUCUUUUAUCUGGGAAGAAACACUUCUAUUCUUAGAAGCUUGACGGUACCAGAGGAAUAAGCACCGGCUAACUCCGUG